UACAGAGGUCUCAAGCGUUGUUCGGAUUCAUUGGGCGUAAAGGGUGUGUAGGUGGCGCGCUAAGUCGGGUGUGAAAUUUCGGAGCUUAACUCCGAAACUGCAUUCGAUACUGGCGUGCUUGAGGACUGGAGAGGAGACUGGAAUUCAUGGUGUAGCAGUGAAAUGCGUAGAGAUCAUGAGGAAGACCAGAGGCGAAGGCGGCCGGCUGGACCUGACCUGACGCUGAGGCACGAAGGCGUGGGGAGCGAACGGG
This 253-nucleotide ribosomal RNA is filed under the name uncultured bacterium. Its description in RNAcentral is "partial 16S ribosomal RNA". It matches the Rfam family "Bacterial small subunit ribosomal RNA", at positions 524 to 776 of the family's 1533-position model. The record is from RNAcentral.